GACGAACGCUGGCGGCGUGCUUAACACAUGCAAGUCGAACGGUAAGGCCCUUCGGGGUACACGAGUGGCGAACGGGUGAGUAACACGUGGGUGAUCUGCCCUGCACUUCGGGAUAAGCCUGGGAAACUGGGUCUAAUACCGGAUAGGACCACUGCCUGCAUGGGUGGUGGUGGAAAGCUUUUGCGGUGUGGGAUGGGCCCGCGGCCUAUCAGCUUGUUGGUGGGGUGAUGGCCUACCAAGGCGACUACGGGUAGCCGGCCUGAGAGGGUGACCGGCCACACUGGGACUGGGAUACGGCCCAGACUCCUACGGGAGGCAGCAGUGGGGAAUAUUGCACAAUGGGCGCAAGCCUGAUGCAGCGACGCCGCGUGAGGGACGACGGCCUUCGGGUUGUAAACCUCUUUCAGCACCGACGAAGCGCAAGUGACGGUAGGUGCAGAAGAAGGACCGGCCAACUACGUGCCAGCCGCCGCAGUAA
This 478-nucleotide ribosomal RNA is filed under the name uncultured bacterium. RNAcentral's name for it is "partial 16S ribosomal RNA". It matches the Rfam family "Bacterial small subunit ribosomal RNA", at positions 28 to 523 of the family's 1533-position model. The record is from RNAcentral.